Molecule: long non-coding RNA, 210 nt
Organism: Gavialis gangeticus (Gharial)
Lineage: Eukaryota; Metazoa; Chordata; Crocodylia; Gavialidae
Exons: 3
Source: RefSeq, a predicted model, not a curated record
UCUCUUUACAAAGGAGGUGGCGCUGACACACACCUUGCUUACAGGGUUGUCUAGCUUCUACCCAACUGCAGCAGAAGCACAACAGCAUCAAGGGCAGAGACCUGUGUCUGGGUUACAGGGAGCUCGCCAAAGGCUCACACAGCCAAAAUCUGGCUAAGACAUGAUAGAGACCUAAAGGGAGGGAGGUUGCUCUGUCCAGAGUCCCUUGCC